RNAcentral lists this ribosomal RNA (104 nucleotides) under Periophthalmus magnuspinnatus. Lineage: Eukaryota; Metazoa; Chordata; Actinopteri; Gobiiformes; Gobiidae. The record is from RNAcentral.
CCCCGCUGUGCAAACCUCCUUGUCAAAGCCUGAUCUUGUUAGGGCUGGGUCUGGUUAGUACUUGGAUGGGAGACUGCUGGAAAUAUUAGGUGUCACAGUGGGGC